AGUCGUAAAAUUGGAACCCAAUUUGUAAUAAAUUGAUAGAUAAUUGUAUUUAAGCUCCUAAGCAAAGCUGCUGAAUGCGUUCAGCGAGAGAAAAAGGGUUCGUUCAAUGGAAAAACGAAUUCCUAUCCUGAAAAAUACCAGCAUACGGUUAGUGAUAAAUGCAGAAAAUUUCACAAGGAACAUGGAACGAUGUCUUAGGCAGCGAUCCCGAACCAGUUUAUCCCAUGGGAACAAAAAAAAAAUUUUGAAUUCGCAAAUAUUUUACAAAUUAAUUAAGAUGGACAUAAAUAAAAUAUUAUGAGUAUGUCUGGACAACUCUGCUUUGUAUGUAUUAAUAUUUAAAACGUGCUUUUGCCUCGAUUCAAUUUACAGGAACACAGGUGCGGCGAAUUUGUCACAAUAAAACUUGUUUGUGAUUCACUUUCAGCUGGCAAAAUUGCGGGCAUUGUCUCACUUUGAUUUGGGUCUGUGCAACAAUACGCGAAUAUGGUGAGCUCGCACUUUGCCAGACGGCGGAAUUAAAAACAAAUACGAAAACAAUUAAUCGUGAUGUCCGUAAUACCGGAGACGGAGAGUAGUCAAGCAAUGGAAAAAUUCAUUAAUUUUCAACAAAACACUUAAAAAUUCUCCAUCAAUGCAAAUAUAAUAAUGCAACCCUGGAUAGUGAGUCCGCUUCUUCUCUUUAAUUACACAAUAAUGGCAACUGUCUUAAUGAAAUUUAUGAAACUUAUUGCAAUGUUUAUUGUUUUUAUUAGUUUGUGGCCGCUACUGCAUUUUGCCUGAGUACUUUCGCGAAUUCGCUUCGGGAGACAGCACUGAUUCACAGGCGCGGCGCAAGCGAAAACUCUCCUCCGUUAAAAUAUCAAAAUCGUAAGCAUGCGAACAAUUAAAUUCGCAGAUUCCACUAAUCACGGCAGCUUUAAUGGUUCUCGAUCGUAAUUUACGCUUUAAGUUUUAUUUGUUUAUUUUAUUUUAUGUACAGUUAUACUCUUAGAAUCGUACUAAUUGCACCUCCAUGUGAGAGAUACCUACACAAGUUCAUGUGUUGUUUCAUGUGUCUUCUGGCAAUAAAGUGCAACUGCGUAACUUACGACCAAUUCUACAAGUAUUGUUGCACUUUUAUGGUUAUUGCUGGGCUAUCCGAGUUUGUGAGCUACAAUUUACAACUAUUUAUAAAGAAUAAAAACAGAAAAUAAAACUAUUAAGAUUCAAGAUGCCGCAGUUACCCAUACCACAGAUACGUGAAUGCGGUUAAUACGAAUACGAAUGCAAACAGGUGCCGACGAUUAGUGAGGUUAGACUGUUGUGAGUCACUUUUAGUCUUAGUUAGUCGGCACAAUAAAAGCACUUCUCGAUUAUAAUUGUUGAUAAUUAGUUUUUUUUUCAAUUGCCUAUUUUUGACAGAUCACGCGUGAGUGGUGUCAAGCUGUCAUGUUAUUAUACCCUGAACAGGGUAUAUGAAGUUUGCCACGACACGUACACUCGUAACACUCAGAAGGAAGCGUCGGAGACCCUAUAAAGUAUAUAUUUAAAUGAUCAGUAUGUUGAGCUGAGUCGAUUUAGCCAUGUCCGUCUGUCUGUCUAUCCGUCAGUAUUUAUACGAACUAGUCCCUCAGUUUUAAAGAUAUCGUUUUGAAAUUUUGCAAACGUCAUUUUCUCUUCAAGAAGCUGCUCAUUUGUCGGAACUGCCGAUAUCGGACACAUAUAUGUAUGGAAAACUUCUGUAUGGAAAACUUUCGCAUUUGACGUGGUGUCUUCACGAAAUUUAAUAUGAUUACUACUUAAGGUAAUAACAUAAUCUCCCAAAACAUUGUUCAGAUCGGAUUACUAUAGCAUGUAAACUGAACGAUCGGAGUCAAAUACUUGCAUUGGAGACUUUUUCAGUUAACGAGAUGUAUUUUGCAAAUUCGUCGUGGUUUAUUUUCUAAGGCAACACUACAUAAGUUGAAGAAAUUUUGCAGCCUUAUUGCUUCCAGCAAACAACUUGGUUAAAAAAACUAGUAAAAUGUUUACCUUUGGAUGAAAACCGCUGGCUGGUGACGUUUUACUUACAUAUUCGGCCUGCUGACUGUACUAUUCGCAACACCAUCACCCAUCUUGAGGCCCAGCAAUUAUUAUUGGAUAAUAUUCGGCCAAAUAGACCACGUCCAGCACGCACGGACUGACGUAUGGAACGACUUGGCGCAUUUUACGUCGAGAUCUUAAAUUAAACAGCUUGUGCAAGAACUGAAGCUGCUCGAUCUUCGCAAGCGACAUCGUUUCGCUCUAUAGGCUCUUGAAAAGUUCCAGAAAUUCCGACGUAUUCUAGCCAAAUGUUUUUCAGCGAUGAGGACCAUUUCUGGCUCAACGGAUGUGCAGACAAGCAAAAUUGCUGCAUUUUUGACGAAAAGCAACCAGAAGAGGUUUAGGCCUGUGGAAUCAUCGGUCCAUUUUUCUUCAAAAUUGAUGCGGCUAAGACCGUACCCGACUAUUUGAAAUUGAAGUUCGUGAUCUUUGCGACAUGUGCUUUCAACAAGACGUGGCGCUGUCCCACACAUCCCAUCAAUCUAUGAAUCGCAUCAAACUAUGAAUUUAUUGAGAGAACACUUCGGUGAGCAGAUAAUUUCACGUUUUGGGCCGAUCGAUUCGUUCCAGAGUUAUUGAAAAUUGGACUCAAUGGAAGGACCAUCUGAGACGUAUCCGUGGCCGAAGAGAUAAUCUUCAAAUAAAUAAAUGCCAAAGAAUAUUCUCUCGAAUGAUGAUAAACAUUAUCCAUUAAAUUUGAA
Long non-coding RNA from Bactrocera neohumeralis, 2765 nucleotides. RefSeq lists it as uncharacterized. The record is from RefSeq and is a predicted model, not a curated record. Lineage: Eukaryota; Metazoa; Arthropoda; Insecta; Diptera; Tephritidae. The transcript has 2 exons.